AAUUUGUAUACUCAGCCAGUGAGACGGUGGGGGAUAAGCUUCAUCGUCAAGAGGGAAACAGCCCAGACCACCAGCUAAGGUCCCCAAAUGGUCACUAAGUGAUUAAGGAGGUGGGAGUGCAUUGACAACCAGGAGGUUUGCCUAGAAGCAGCCACCCUAUAAUGAGUGCGUAAUAGCUCACUGGUCAAGCGCUCCUGCGCCGAAAAUGAACGGGGCUAAGUGACAUACCGAAGCUGUGGGAUAACAUUCCCAGGCGGGAGCCUGGGAACGAGAUCGGUAGGGGAGCGUUCCGAGGAGGGUGAAGCACUAGCGGCAAGCAGGUGUGGACGAAUCGGAAGUGAGAAUGUCGGCUUGAGUAGCGCAAAUAUUGGUGAGAAUCCAAUACCCCGAAACCCCAAGGGUUCCAGAGCCAGGCUCGUCCACUCUGGGUUAGUCAGGGCCUAAGGCGAGGCAGAAGUGCGUAGUCGAUGGACAACGGGUGAACAUUCCCGUACCGUUAAUUGUUGGUGCAGAGGGACGGAGCAGGUGAUGACCAGCCGGAGAUUGGUAGUUCCGGUGUAAGCUACUCGCGGCGUAGAAGUUUGGAGAAAACAAAUUGAGCCGAGAAGCGAAUCCGACUCCCUACGGGGAGGAAGUGGUACAUCGUCAUACUUCCAAGAAAAGCUCAAAAGUACGUUAAGCAAUUAAUGCCUGUACCCGAAACCGACACAGGUGGGGAGGUUGAGAAAACUCA
RNAcentral lists this ribosomal RNA (733 nucleotides) under Starria zimbabweensis SAG 74.90. RNAcentral describes it as "bacterial LSU rRNA". It matches the Rfam family "Bacterial large subunit ribosomal RNA", at positions 965 to 1684 of the family's 2925-position model. Lineage: Bacteria; Bacillati; Cyanobacteriota; Cyanophyceae; Gomontiellales; Gomontiellaceae. The record is from RNAcentral.